This 533-nucleotide ribosomal RNA is filed under the name uncultured bacterium. Its description in RNAcentral is "bacterial SSU rRNA". It matches the Rfam family "Bacterial small subunit ribosomal RNA", at positions 338 to 872 of the family's 1533-position model. The record is from RNAcentral.
CCUACGGGAGGCAGCAGUAAGGAAUAUUGGUCAAUGGACGCAAGUCUGAACCAGCCAUGCCGCGUGAAGGAUGAAGGUCCUCUGGAUUGUAAACUUCUUUUAUAGGGGGCGAAAAAAGGGAAUUCUUUCUCACUUGACGGUACCUUAWGAAUAAGCACCGGCUAACUCCGUGCCAGCAGCCGCGGUAAUACGGAGGGUGCAAGCGUUAUCCGGAUUUACUGGGUUUAAAGGGUGCGCAGGCGGGCGAUUAAGUCAGUGGUGAAAUCUUCGAGCUUAACUCGGAAACUGCCGUUGAUACUAAUUGUCUUGAAUACUCGGGAGGUGAGCGGAAUAUGUCAUGUAGCGGUGAAAUGCUUAGAUAUGACAUAGAACACCGAUUGCGAAGGCAGCUCACUACAGAGAUAUUGACGCUGAGGCACGAAAGCGUGGGGAUCAAACAGGAUUAGAUACCCUGGUAGUCCACGCCCUAAACGAUGAUUACUCGACAUACGCGAUACACAGUGUUUGUCCAAGCGAAAGCAUAAGUAAUCCAC